Molecule: non-coding RNA, 23 nt
Filed under: Cricetulus griseus (Chinese hamster)
Lineage: Eukaryota; Metazoa; Chordata; Mammalia; Rodentia; Cricetidae
Source: RNAcentral
UGGGACUCAAACACAAGUGUUAG